RNAcentral lists this ribosomal RNA (466 nucleotides) under uncultured bacterium. Its description in RNAcentral is "partial 16S ribosomal RNA". It matches the Rfam family "Bacterial small subunit ribosomal RNA", at positions 30 to 507 of the family's 1533-position model. The record is from RNAcentral.
CGAACGCUGGCGGCGUGCUUAACACAUGCAAGUCUAACGGAAAGGCCCUGCUUUUGUGGUGUGCUCGAGUGGCGAACGGGUGAGUAACACGUGAGUAACCUGCCCUUGACUUUGGGAUAACUUCAGGCAACUGGGGCUAAUACCUGAUAGGAGCUCCUGCUGCCUGGUGGGGGUUGGAAAGUUUCGGCGGUUGGGGAUGGACUCGCGGCUUAUCAGCUUGUUGGUGGGGUAGUGGCUUACCAAGGCUUUGACGGGUAGCCGGCCUGGGAGGGUGACCGGCAACAUGGGGACUGAGAUACGGCGCAGACUCCUACGGGAGGCAGCAGGGGGGAGUAUUGCACAAUGGGCGGAAGCCUGAUGCAGCAACGCCGCGUGCGGGAUGACGGCCUUCGGGUUGUAAACCGCUUUCGCCUGUGACGAAGAGUGAGUGACGGUAAUGGGUAAAGAAGCAACGGCUAACUACGUG